Molecule: ribosomal RNA, 484 nt
Filed under: uncultured bacterium
Lineage: Bacteria
Description: partial 16S ribosomal RNA
Rfam family: Bacterial small subunit ribosomal RNA
Source: RNAcentral
AUUGAACGCUGGCGGCAGGCCUAACACAUGCAAGUCGAGCGGAUGAAGGGAGCUUGCUCCUGGAUUCAGCGGCGGACGGGUGAGUAAUGCCUAGGAAUCUGCCUGGUAGUGGGGGAUAACGUCCGGAAACGGGCGCUAAUACCGCAUACGUCCUGAGGGAGAAAGUGGGGGAUCUUCGGACCUCACGCUAUCAGAUGAGCCUAGGUCGGAUUAGCUAGUUGGUGGGGUAAAGGCCUACCAAGGCGACGAUCCGUAACUGGUCUGAGAGGAUGAUCAGUUACACUGGAACUGAGACACGGUCCAGACUCCUACGGGAGGCAACAGUGGGGAAUAUUGGACGAUGGGCGAAAGCCUGAUCCAACCAUGCCACGUGUGUGAAGAAGGUCUUCGGAUUGUAAAGCACUUUAAGUUGGGAGGAAGGGCAGUAAGUUAAUACCUUGCUAUUUUGACGUUACCAACAGAAUAAGCACCGGCUAACUUCGUG